GAGUCUCGGCGGGGAUUUUCUGGAGAGAGGGAACGGAAGGGAGGGUCUGGAGAGAGAGACUGCUGUGGAGGCUGGUGGAGCCGGUGGCUUCGCUGAGCGAAGAUGACGUGGCGCUGUCGGUGGAAUCCAAAUGCGUUGGAGAUUUUGGUGUUCGUCUUCUCCGGGAAGAAUGUUCUGAAUCGAACAGCCAUGAGAUAACCCGCAUGCUCGUUAAGUUUCUCUUUCAGUUUCUGGGUAAAGAACAAGAACUCAAAAAUCAAUGAAAAAGAAAGACAUUAGGUCUGCGUUACAGCACUGAUGAGGUUGGAAGAUAGCGCAUGAGUCAAGGAGAGAGUAGGACACUGUAACUAUGAGCCAAUUCUAUCAUCAAUAGCUAAAACUAUGAUGUUUAUGAAGAUGUAGACGCACUUUUUGAAUGUUGAAUAAUUGCGAUCAAAGGAAGUAAAUGAACGGGUGUGAGUGCAUAAGUGGGAACUUGGACGAAACAAGAGACUAAGUGUAAGAGAUUGGUCACAUCGUCGCUGGAAAGUUGCUAACUAAAAGAAAGACACAAUGAAUGGUGUCAAUGUCAGAAGGGAGCCACAUUGAAUAGCUUAACCAGAUGGAUAAAUAAUGUUUGUUUCUUUUUUGGUAAAAUAACCAGAUGGAUAAAUAAUGUUUGUUUCUUCGUAAAGAAACUAUACAAAUUGGAAAACUCAGGUCGUUAUCUUGAGUAGACUGGGAAGCAGCGAUGACAGGAGAUAGUCAGCCAAGAAUAGUGAAAGGUUGGUAGGAAGGUUCAUGCAGUCUUUCUCAUAUGUUUCCCAAGAACCUACAAUCUGCUUUGUACUAAGGAGAAAUAUCAGCUGUUUUA
Brassica rapa (field mustard) is the source of this 853-nucleotide long non-coding RNA. RefSeq lists it as uncharacterized. The record is from RefSeq and is a predicted model, not a curated record. NCBI's taxonomy places the organism in Eukaryota, Viridiplantae, Streptophyta, Magnoliopsida, Brassicales, Brassicaceae.